Molecule: long non-coding RNA, 3362 nt
Filed under: Homo sapiens (human)
Lineage: Eukaryota; Metazoa; Chordata; Mammalia; Primates; Hominidae
Description: HSALNT0164920
Source: RNAcentral
UCUCAGGGUAUGUAACACUUCUUCAUACCAUAUCACACACUUAACAAUCAUUUAUUUACUGGAAAUGCUUUGUUUGCUCAUUAAUUUUGAGUGCUGUGAGGGCAGGCAUUCCAUUUGUUUUCCUCCUUUCUGCACCCCAGGCACCCAGCACAUACUAGGCACCCAGUAGAUACCUGGCAUCUGACUGUCAGGGCCCAGCAUGGAAGCCGAGGCAGGUCAGUGAGGAACCUUUAAGAAGUCCUUGCUGUGUACACAGCCUUACAAUGUAUGUGGGUAGCUAUUUCACCUCCUUGUUACUUUUAGAGAAAUGGAGGCUCUGAGAGGAGAAAUGGCUUACCCAACGUCAUGCGACUAGAAAUUCCAGCUUGAAGCCUCAUGGCAGGAGAGCUCAGACCAGCAGAGAGACCUCAGAUUGCUCCCAGCCUUGGCCUGCCUGUCACACUUCCUCUUUGCCCUGGCAGCUGCAGGGUUGUUGACUGCACAGAGUUUUUCUUCCCUUUUCCUUUCUUUCUCUCUCUCUCUUUCCCUCCCUCCCUCCUUCCUCUCUGUGUCUGUCUCUGGUGUCUGAGUUAGUUCCUUAUGGUGAGUUCUUGGUCUCCCUGACUUCGAGAAUGAAGCCGUGGACCUUCGCGGUGAGUAUUACAGCUCUUAGAGGUGGCACAGACCCAAAGAGUGAGCAGCAACAAGAUUUAUUGUUAAGAGUGAAACAACAGAGUUUCCACAGCCUGGAAGGGGACCCAAGGAACUUGCCACUGCUGGCUGGGGUGGUCAGUUUUUAUUUCCUUAUUUGUCCCCGCCCACAUCCUGCUGAUUGGUCCAUUUUCCAGAGUGCUGAUUGGUCCAUUUUACGGAGUGCUGAUUGGUCCAUUUUACGGAGUGCUGAUUGGUCCAUUUACAAUCCUCUAGCUAGACACAGAGGGCUGAUUGGUACGUUUUACAAUCCUAGCUACAGAGUGCUGAUUGGUGCAUUUAUAAUCCUUUAGCUAGACACAGAGCACUGAUUGGUGCAUUUACAAUCCUCUAGCUACCCAGAAAAUUUUGCCAAGUCCCCACUUGACCCAGGAAGUCCAGCUGGCCUCACCCUUCACUUUCUGUUUCCCCAGGAUUCACAACUGGGCUCCUCUUGCUGUGUUGGAGGGAGAUGUUUCACCUGAGCACCAUGUUUCACAUGGCAGUGGGGCAAGGCACUGAGGCUGUGUGGCAUGGCACCACAGGGUGGCCACUGGUCCCUGAGUCGGCAGACCUGGCUCUCUUUUCCCUGCCAUGCUGACUUCAUGUUUAUGGCUAAGAAGCCUCUCCCAGGGAGCAGCUGAGCUUCAGGGGCAUUCCUGGAGCGUCCAGGAGAGCAAUAUGGCCCUUUGCUGGUGGAGAACCUGAGACCCUCAAGGAGAAAGUGAAGAAAAUUCUCUCUGCAUACAGACCCCUUCCCAUUUUCCCAUUCUGGGUUGACUAUCCUCCCUCAUAGAUGUGCUCAUGAGUCUUGGAAAUUCUCUUGACUCAUUGCCAUUUAAAAUAUCUGUGUUGCUUCUGAUGAUAGAUGGUUGAUUUAUAAAAUGGUUUGGCUCUCUUUAUGAUAGAAUAUUAUACAGGCAUCAAAAACAAUAAUGUAGGAGACAAGGAUAUGAGGAGAUGUUCAAGCUGUAUUCUGUGAAAAGAAAAAAAGAUUGCAGAAUACAGCAUAUGUUCCCAUUUUUUUUUUUUUUUUUUUUUUACAAAAAUGUGGACCUAGGUACAUAAUGUGUGCUAUGCAUAGGAAAAAGCCUGGAGAACUUGCACGAAAUGGUCACACUGUUUUUCAGUGAUGGUAAGAUAAAGGGUAAUUUUAAAAAUUCCUAUUCUUUUCCAGAUUGUUUCUAACACUGCGCAUGCCUUUCGGAGACAAAUUUUAAAAAUAAACAUUAUUUUUAAAAGGAAACAAACAAACAAAACCAAACAGAAGGGAGGCUGGGUUUCUUGGGGAUUUCGGGAGUGCCUGUGUCUCCACGACCUGGGCAGUGCUCUUCUGAGAGGACUGAGGGCUGGGGAGGCAGAGAGAGCAACGACAGGCUACCAGCAUUGAGAAAGAAGGCCUCAAGGCCACAUUGAGAAGGACACUACGCUCUGGAUCACAGGCUGAGCCCUGCAUUCUUGACAUUGGAGCCCUUCGGGAGUGCCAGAACGAGCAGUCCCUCUCCUGGAGGAGCCUGCCUUCCCACCACGGAGGCUAACACCACAACAGCCACAGUGAGCCACCCCUUCUGCCCAUCUUCUUACGUGUCAAGCACUGUGUUCAGUGCCUUCACAGGUAACUUCGAUAAGUCACGAUGGGCAUGCUGCGACUAAGUUGGUACUGAUAUUCUAUUGGUUUUAAAUGGGGAAACUGAGGCUCAGGAAGGUUCAGUAUUUUGCUGGAGGUCACACAGCCAGGCAAGGGCAGAGCCAAGAUUUCAGUUUCAAUCUGUCUGGCUUGGAAGACUUCCUUAUCUUGUGGCAGCAUCUCCAGAGAUCAUGGGUCAGCCUCUUCUUGCCAGAGGCGUGUGUGUGUGCACAGACACAUACACGCUGAGUGACAGAGGGACAAAAACAGUGAGCACCCACCCAGGCACUGUGCUCGAAAUUCUUCCUGCAAACCUGCAAGGGACAGGGCUUUGCUCUGUCUCCCAGGCUGGAGUGCAGGGGUGCCAUCAUAGCUCACUGCAGCUUUGACCUCCUGGACUAAGCUAUCCUCCUGCCUCGGCCUCCUGAGUGGGAAGGACUACAGGCCCCCAAAGGCUCUGCGCAGACCAGCACUGUCUCCUCCUUCAUCCACAGAGAGGAUGAAAGAACAUGGCAAGAGGAAGACUCACAGAACCCCACAGAGAAGCUUUGAGAAUUGGGCUGUCUGGCUCUCCCAUCACCCAUUUGGCCACCAGCUUUGGUCCCAGCUGCUGUGCCCUCGGGGGAUGCAUUAUGGCCCUGAAAGGGGCCCUUGUCCCUUUUUGGGGUGUCAUCCUGGCUGGGUGGUAUGGAUUUCUGCUGUAAACAUGGCCCAUCUGGGAGAAGCCCAGGUGCCACGUUUUGAACAGCUCUGAAACUUAAAGCUCAGAAGGCUUUGAAAUGCAAAUAUUUUGAAGGAAACAUAAGGUUCCUUGAAUUUCUACGUGAAUUUUAGGAUCAGCUUGUCCAUUUCUGCAAAGAAGCCAGCUGAGCUUUUGAUUGGAAUUGCAUUGAAUCUGUAGAUCAAUUUGGAGAGCAUUUGCAUCUUAACAGUAUUAAGUCUUCUCAUCCAUGAACAUAUUAUAUUUUUCCAUGUAUUUAGAUCUUUAAUUGCCUUCAACAAUGUUUUGUAGUUUUUAGAAUAUAAAUCUUGCACUUCUUUUGUUAAAUGUAUUCCAAAGUAUUUC